RNAcentral lists this ribosomal RNA (496 nucleotides) under uncultured bacterium. RNAcentral's name for it is "partial 16S ribosomal RNA". It matches the Rfam family "Bacterial small subunit ribosomal RNA", at positions 28 to 506 of the family's 1533-position model. The record is from RNAcentral.
GAUGAACGCUGGCGGCGUGCCUAAUACAUGCAAGUCGAGCGAACGGACGAGAAGCUUGCUUCUCUGAUGUUAGCGGCGGACGGGUGAGUAACACGUGGAUAACCUACCUAUAAGACUGGGAUAACUUCGGGAAACCGGAGCUAAUACCGGAUAAUAUUUUGAACCGCAUGAUUCAAGAGUGAAAGACGGUCUUGCUGUCACUUAUAGAUGGAUCCGCGCUGCAUUAGCUAGUUGGUAAGGUAACGGCUUACCAAGGCAACGAUGCAUAGCCGACCUGAGAGGGUGAUCGGCCACACUGGAACUGAGACACGGUCCAGACUCCUACGGGAGGCAGCAGUAGGGAAUCUUCCGCAAUGGGCGAAAGCCUGACGGAGCAACGCCGCGUGAGUGAUGAAGGUCUUCGGAUCGUAAAACUCUGUUAUUAGGGAAGAACAUAUGUGUAAGUAACUGUGCACAUCUUGACGGUACCUAAUCAGAAAGCCACGGCUAACUACGU